CCAGAGGUACAAAGAGAGAGAGAGGCUCAGGACCAUCCAGCCCAUUCUGUGCCAUUCUGAAAGGGCCAUGACAGAUGGGGCUUGCAUCACCGUAAUCAAGGCAUGCUUCAUAUGGUUACUGGUUUUAAAAAGAGGGACCUGGUGGGUGAAUGAAUCCAAUGUGUCGCUUGUUGCUUUUCAGAUGAUCCAGCUUGUUUCAAUCAGCCAGUCUCGUGCUUCUGUGUGAAUGAGGAAUUAGAAGGUGGGUGUGGAACAAGAGAGUUGUUUCAAGGUAAUCGAAGACACCAAAUUAUACCAGCAGUUUUUCAGAAGACAACCAGGUCAUUCUUAUUGGUGAAAGAAGAGAGGAAUUGAAUUCGUGCAUUUGGCUGACCAUGGUGUAGCAUCACCAUGUGCUUACGUAGCUGAAUAAUGGUUAUCCAUGAGCGAUGUAGAUUACCAAAUCAAGAGAUGGUGUGCACUUUACAGACCAAGGGCAAGAUCCAUUCAUUGGCCUCUGGCCACAGAGGGUCUGUUGGAAAUGGGAUCUCAGUGGUGCAAGCCGCCUGUGAGGACUGGGCUGGAGCUGCACAGUGCCCCUGUGAAGUUGGUAGCACUUGCCAGUAGAGAGAAGGGAUGGGAGUAGUCCAGCUUGAAGACACCCUUAUUCAGGGCUUUUCUCAGACAACCUCCAGGGAUUUUAAUGCUACCCUUCGCCAGCCA
RNAcentral lists this long non-coding RNA (702 nucleotides) under Gopherus agassizii (Agassiz's desert tortoise). RNAcentral's name for it is "lncRNA (ENSGAGG00000020877.1)". The record is from RNAcentral. Lineage: Eukaryota; Metazoa; Chordata; Testudines; Testudinidae.